UAAGGACCUCUACAUUACCAUUUCCUGCCGGUUCAGACCUGGCCCCUCCAAUCGGUGUCCCACCAGCUGAUGGACCCGAUGUAUUGUUGUUGCCUGUCCCCGAUCCUAUGGUCCCAGACAAAUCGGUGAUUUGGCUUUUACUAGCCUGGUUUCCAACAGACAUAUCGGAAUUUUUCUCUUUUUCGCCUGGGAUCGAGUCUGAAUGCUCAUAACCUUUCUCUAAUUGGACAAUAAUUUUAACGCCUAUAUUAAAUUGUAUUAGUUUAUUUAGAGUA
This is a long non-coding RNA of Stomoxys calcitrans (stable fly), 275 nucleotides long. RefSeq lists it as uncharacterized. Lineage: Eukaryota; Metazoa; Arthropoda; Insecta; Diptera; Muscidae. The record is from RefSeq and is a predicted model, not a curated record. The transcript is spliced from 2 exons.